RNAcentral lists this ribosomal RNA (253 nucleotides) under uncultured bacterium. RNAcentral describes it as "partial 16S ribosomal RNA". It matches the Rfam family "Bacterial small subunit ribosomal RNA", at positions 524 to 776 of the family's 1533-position model. The record is from RNAcentral.
UACGUAGGGGGCAAGCGUUGUCCGGAAUCAUUGGGCGUAAAGAGCGCGUAGGCGGCCCUGUAAGUCCGCUGUGAAAGUCAAGGGCUCAACCCUUGAAUGCCGGUGGAUACUGCAGGGCUAGAGUCCGGAAGAGGCGAGUGGAAUUCCUGGUGUAGCGGUGAAAUGCGCAGAUAUCAGGGGGAACACCGAUGGCGAAGGCAGCUCGCUGGGACGGUACUGACGCUGAGACGCGAAAGCGUGGGGAGCGAACAGG